RNAcentral lists this ribosomal RNA (497 nucleotides) under uncultured bacterium. RNAcentral describes it as "partial 16S ribosomal RNA". It matches the Rfam family "Bacterial small subunit ribosomal RNA", at positions 28 to 507 of the family's 1533-position model. The record is from RNAcentral.
GAUGAACGCUGGCGGCGUGCCUAAUACAUGCAAGUCGAGCGAACGGACGAGAAGCUUGCUUUUCUGAUGUUAGCGGCGGACGGGUGAGUAACACGUGGAUAACCUACCUAUAAGACUGGGAUAACUUCGGGAAACCGGAGCUAAUACCGGAUAAUAUUUUGAACCGCAUGGUUCAAAAGUGAAAGACGGUCUUGCUGUCACUUAUAGAUGGAUCCGCGCUGCAUUAGCUAGUUGGUAAGGUAACGGCUUACCAAGGCAACGAUGCAUAGCCGACCUGAGAGGGUGAUCGGCCACACUGGAACUUGAACACGGUCCAGACUCCUACGGGAGGCAGCAGUAGGGAAUCUUCCGCAAUGGGCGAAAGCCUGACGGAGCAACGCCGCGUGAGUGAUGAAGGUCUUCGGAUCGUAAAACUCUGUUAUUAGGGAAGAACAUAUGUGUAAGUAACUGUGCACAUCUUGACGGUACCUAAUCAGAAAGCCACGGCUAACUACGUG